RNAcentral lists this transfer RNA (89 nucleotides) under Allofournierella massiliensis. RNAcentral describes it as "tRNA-Ser". It matches the Rfam family "tRNA". Rfam says of the family: Transfer RNA (tRNA) molecules are approximately 80 nucleotides in length. Their secondary structure includes four short double-helical elements and three loops (D, anti-codon, and T loops). Further hydrogen bonds mediate the characteristic L-shaped molecular structure. tRNAs have two regions of fundamental functional importance: the anti-codon, which is responsible for specific mRNA codon recognition, and the 3' end, to which the tRNAs corresponding amino acid is attached (by aminoacyl-tRNA synthetases). tRNAs cope with the degeneracy of the genetic code in two manners: having more than one tRNA (with a specific anti-codon) for a particular amino acid; and 'wobble' base-pairing, i.e. permitting non-standard base-pairing at the 3rd anti-codon position. RNAcentral also lists the same sequence under 1 other name. The record is from RNAcentral. Lineage: Bacteria; Bacillati; Bacillota; Clostridia; Eubacteriales; Oscillospiraceae.
GGAGAUGUAUCGAAGUGGUCGUAACGAGGCUGACUCGAAAUCAGUUGUACCUUUGGGUACCGGGGGUUCGAAUCCCUCCAUCUCCGCCA